AAGUCUAAGCUCAAAUCAUAAAAUGAUGAAGCCGCGGAAAGCUCAUUACAACAGCCAUUGUUCACUUGAUCUUGAAAAUCCUACUUGGAUAACUGUGGUAAUUCUAGAGCUAAUACAUGCAACAAUGCUCAGGUAGUUCCUUCGGGGACGACGAGCGCAAUUAUUAGAACAAAACCAAUCGGGCCUCGGCCUGUCGGUUUGGUGGAUCUGAAUAACUAUAGCUGAUCGCACAGUCUUUGCACUGGCGACAUAUCUUUCAAGUGUCUGUCCUAUCAGCUGUCGAUGGUAUUCUAUACGAUUACCAUGGCUGUAACGGGUAACGGAGAAUAAGGGUUCGACUCCGGAGAGGGAGCCUGAGAAACGGCUACCACAUCCAAGGAA
Molecule: ribosomal RNA, 381 nt
Filed under: Camacolaimus sp. 77L10H15
Lineage: Eukaryota; Metazoa; Nematoda; Chromadorea; Plectida; Leptolaimidae
Description: bacterial SSU rRNA
Rfam family: Eukaryotic small subunit ribosomal RNA
Source: RNAcentral